GAUGAACGCUGGCGGCGUGCCUAAUACAUGCAAGUCGAGCGAACGGACGAGAAGCUUGCUUCUCUGAUGUUAGCGGCGGACGGGUGAGUAACACGUGGAUAACCUACCUAUAAGACUGGGAUAACUUCGGGAAACCGGAGCUAAUACCGGAUAAUAUUUUGAACCGCAUGGUUCAAAAGUGAAAGACGGUCUAGCUGUCACUUAUAGAUGGAUCCGCGCUGCAUUAGCUAGUUGGUAAGGUAACGGCUUACCAAGGCAACGAUGCAUAGCCGACCUGAGAGGGUGAUCGGCCACACUGGAACUGAGACACGGUCCAGACUCCUACGGGAGGCAGCAGUAGGGAAUCUUCCGCAAUGGGCGAAAGCCUGACGGAGCAACGCCGUGUGAGUGAUGAAGGUCUUCGGAUCGUAAAACUCUGUUAUUAGGGAAGAACAUAUGUGUAAGUAACUGUGCACAUCUUGACGGUACCUAAUCAGAAAGCCACGGCUAACUACGUG
This 497-nucleotide ribosomal RNA is filed under the name uncultured bacterium. RNAcentral's name for it is "partial 16S ribosomal RNA". It matches the Rfam family "Bacterial small subunit ribosomal RNA", at positions 28 to 507 of the family's 1533-position model. The record is from RNAcentral.